This 1078-nucleotide long non-coding RNA is filed under the name Brassica napus (rape). RNAcentral describes it as "long non-coding RNA (BNAP_LNC018624)". Lineage: Eukaryota; Viridiplantae; Streptophyta; Magnoliopsida; Brassicales; Brassicaceae. The record is from RNAcentral.
AAAAAAAUAAAUAAUUUUUUUAAUUUUUUUUCGAAUUAUACUAUUUCGAAAUUCAAACCCGAAACCCUAAAACUCAAGUCUAAACCCUAAAACAUCAAUCCUAAACCCAAUUUCUUUUUUGAUAUACGAACCCUAAAGCCUAAACCAUCAAUCCUAAACUUUUUUUUUUUGAAAUACGGACCCUAACCACUGAAACAUCAACUUUAAACCCUAAACCCCGAAACAUAAAUUCCAAACCCUAAACCCUAAACCUUCAACUCUAAACCCUAAAACAUCAACUCUAAACCCUAAAUCCUAAACUUCAACUCUAAACCCUAAACCAUUAACACUAAACCCUAAACUCUCAACACUAAACCCUAAACCCUAAAAAAUAAACUCUAAACCCUAAAAAAUUAACCCUAAACCCUAAAAAAUCAACUCUAAACCCUAAACCCUAAACCUUCAACUCUAAACCCUAAACUCUAAACCCUAAAUCCUACACCCUAAAACCCUAGAGUUGGUGUUUUAGGGUUUAGAUUUGAAGGUUUAGGGUUUUAGGGUUUAGGGUUUACGUUUAGGGUUUAGAGUUGAUGUUUUAGGGCUUAGAUUUGAACGUUUAGUGUUUUAGGGUUUAGGGUUCGAAUUUCAGAAAAAAUAUAGGGUUUAGGGUUUACGUUUAGGGUUUAGAGUUGAUGUUUUAUGGUUUAGAGUUUUGGGUUUAGAGUUGGUGUUUCGGGGUUUAGGGUUUAUAGUUGGUGUUUCAUGGUUUAGGGUUUAGAGUUGAUGAUUUAGGGUUUAGAGUUGAUGUUUUAAGUUUAGAUUUAGGGUUUACGUUUAGGGUUUAGAGUUAAUGUUUUAGGGUUUAGAUUUGAAAGUUUAGGGUUUAGGGUUUAGAGUUGAUGUUUCGGGGUUUAGGGUUUAGAGUUGAUGUUUCAUAGUUUAGGGUUUAGAGUUGAUGAUUUAGGGUUUAGAGUUGAUGUUUUAAGUUUAUAUUAGUUAACCUUAUGUUUUUUUUUGUCAAAGUUAAUCAAAAGGUUAUAAAUGUCUUUUACCAUUCAUUAAAGAUGGUGGUAAAAGUGGUUAGUGUAAACAUGAAAAG